Molecule: small nucleolar RNA, 92 nt
Filed under: Marchantia polymorpha subsp. ruderalis
Lineage: Eukaryota; Viridiplantae; Streptophyta; Marchantiopsida; Marchantiales; Marchantiaceae
Description: Small nucleolar RNA Z159/U59
Rfam family: Small nucleolar RNA Z159/U59
About the family: This family consists of several snoRNA Z159 or U59 sequences which are members of the C/D class of snoRNA which contain the C (UGAUGA) and D (CUGA) box motifs. This family seems to be found exclusively in rice.
Source: Rfam by way of RNAcentral
CUCUCUUGUGAUGAUCAAAACAUACUUUCGUUCUACUGAGUUGUGCAAAGCACACCGUGGAGAUAAAAUAUGGAGACCUGAACUGAAGAGAG